GUGGGGAAUCUUGCGCAAUGGGCGAAAGCCUGACGCAGCCAUGCCGCGUGAAUGAUGAAGGUCUUAGGAUUGUAAAAUUCUUUCACCGGGGACGAUAAUGACGGUACCCGGAGAAGAAGCUCCGGCUAACUUCGUGCCAGCAGCCGCGGUAACACGAAGGGGGCUAGCGUUGCUCGGAAUUACUGGGCGUAAAGGGCGCGUAGGCGGACAGCUUAGUCAGAGGUGAAAGCCCAGGGCUCAACCUUGGAAUUGCCUUUGAUACUGGCUGUCUUGAGUUUGGGAGAGGUGAGUGGAACUCCGAGUGUAGAGGUGAAAUUCGUAGAUAUUCGGAAGAACACCAGUGGCGAAGGCGACUCACUGGCCCAAUACUGACGCUGAGGCGCGAAAGCGUGGGGAGCAAACAGGAUUAGAAACCCCGGUAGUCC
Molecule: ribosomal RNA, 425 nt
Filed under: uncultured bacterium
Lineage: Bacteria
Description: partial 16S ribosomal RNA
Rfam family: Bacterial small subunit ribosomal RNA
Source: RNAcentral